CGUUAAUUGCAGAAUUAGAGA
This 21-nucleotide small nuclear RNA is filed under the name Arabidopsis thaliana (thale cress). Its description in RNAcentral is "snRNA_13491". Lineage: Eukaryota; Viridiplantae; Streptophyta; Magnoliopsida; Brassicales; Brassicaceae. The record is from RNAcentral.